UACGUAGGUGGCAAGCGUUGUCCGGAUUUACUGGGUGUAAAGGGCGUGUAGCCGGGCCGGCAAGUCAGAUGUGAAAUCCCAAGGCUCAACCUUGGAACUGCAUUUGAAACUGUUGGUCUUGAGUAUCGGAGAGGCAGGCGGAAUUCCUAGUGUAGCGGUGAAAUGCGUAGAUAUUAGGAGGAACACCAGUGGCGAAGGCGGCUUACUGGACGGCAACUGACGCUGAGGCUCGAAAGCGUGGGGAGCAAACAGG
RNAcentral lists this ribosomal RNA (253 nucleotides) under uncultured bacterium. Its description in RNAcentral is "partial 16S ribosomal RNA". It matches the Rfam family "Bacterial small subunit ribosomal RNA", at positions 524 to 776 of the family's 1533-position model. The record is from RNAcentral.